RNAcentral lists this long non-coding RNA (221 nucleotides) under Nicotiana benthamiana. RNAcentral describes it as "long non-coding RNA (NBEN_LNC032357)". Lineage: Eukaryota; Viridiplantae; Streptophyta; Magnoliopsida; Solanales; Solanaceae. The record is from RNAcentral.
AGAUAUUGUAGUAGCUGAAGAAUUCACUGAAAAUAGAACAAGGACAACUUAAAACAUGCUUAGAAUUAUUUGGUUUUUAACUUUAGUAUACAGAUUCAAAAUAGGCAAAUCCCUUUACAAGAUACCUUGCACAAUAUUGAUUUUAGUCUUUGGACAGAAAAUCAACUUGUAAUUGGUACUCUUGGUGUAGUAAUCAAAAUAUUGACAAUAAACUCCUGUCA